UCAAAAGAAUAAUUAAACUAUAAAAUUCUUAGAAUUUUCUAUUCUCCACCUAAAUUUCUUAUAUAGUUAUAUUUUUCUAUCUACAUUUAAAACCAUUCAUAUAAUGUUCAAGUAAUGUACUGGUAAUUAUUUGAGACGCAUCAAAAAAGAUAUGUACCGGUAAUUAAUAAUUAUGGAUAACCAAUCAAUACAAACUUUAGACAAAGGACCACAGAAAUCAAAAUCAAAACCUUUUUUUGUCGCUUCUAUUUAAUUCUACCAUUGGAGGUAACCCUAAUGGCUGCGUGUAGAUUUUAAUCAUCAAAUCAUUGGGACCUACCAAUUAACAUUGAUUUGGGAAAGUUGCCUAGGGUGUGAAAGAAACUUUAGGGCCAUCUAAUCAAAUCAUAGCAGAAAAAAGAUAAUACAAUUAAUGCAAUGGAGAACUUGCUCUUAUUAAUCAAUUUAAUUCAUUAUAGUUAAACUCUAGGUAGCAGACAAGUUCCUCUCAUAAUGGACGAAGAUGGGUAUGUUUUCUGCUUUCUGUCAAAAGCUAUACCUCAAUAAUGAAUACAGCUUCAACCAAAAAAAUCCAAAAGAAGAACCAAACAAUUCUAUCUUGGUAUCUAGUUAACUUCACAGAACACAAACAACCUAGUCAAGUUCUGAUGUUAUUGAGGGGAAAAGCCAAUGGAAUACUCCAACACGAAAAAUAUCUGUAUAGCCACUCAGGUACAUGGGUGCCCUCUAUGUAUGUAAAGUUAGCAGAAUAGCUUGUGUUACUUAAUUUAAUGCCCUAAUCACUAGCAUGUGUCCUUUUUCUUCUGGCCCACAUGUACAUUAAUUAUUUUAUUAGAUCAUACAUGCCUGGUUGGAAUUCAUGAACUUCAGAUACUUUCAACAUGAGGGGAAGAUGCAUUAAUUAUAGGCUUAUCAUCCAUCAGAAUCAUAUAUAUGAAUUCCUGAAAACUUAGUACAAAACUAAUUUCUGAGUCAAGGAAACAUUUUAUUUGAGGUAACAAACCCCUCAUUGAUUAUCAACAUUUUAUUUUGUUUUAG
RNAcentral lists this long non-coding RNA (1038 nucleotides) under Glycine max (soybean). Its description in RNAcentral is "long non-coding RNA (GMAX_LNC000946)". The record is from RNAcentral. Lineage: Eukaryota; Viridiplantae; Streptophyta; Magnoliopsida; Fabales; Fabaceae.